Long non-coding RNA from Physeter macrocephalus (sperm whale), 873 nucleotides. RefSeq lists it as uncharacterized. NCBI's taxonomy places the organism in Eukaryota, Metazoa, Chordata, Mammalia, Artiodactyla, Physeteridae. The transcript is spliced from 2 exons. The record is from RefSeq and is a predicted model, not a curated record.
GGAACAUGGCAUGUCUCUUUUUCCUUUUUCUUAUUGUCCUUCACAGUGGCUCCUAUUUCAAGCCCUAACCUCAGAGGCACAAGUUGGCUGCAGCAACUCCAGGCUUCACAUUCCCUCAGCUUCAAGUCCUCAGGAGAAAAUGUCCCACUCAUGGCCUACUGCAUCUCAUUGAUACUGAUGACUUCCUACUCUGGAAGAUGGGGUUUUAGCAUUCUUACGCCUCCCCUGACCUGGUGGGCUGAAUACUGCACCCCCCCCAAAUGUCCCUGCCCUAACCCCCCAAGCCUGUGAAUGUUACCUUAUAUGGCAAAAGAGACUUAGCAGAUGUGAUUAAAGUUAAGAACCUGGAAAUGAGAUUAUCCUGGAUUAUCUGGGCGGGCUCGAUCAAUCACGAGUCCUUAAAAGUGAAAGGCAGUAGAGCAGGUCGGAGACGUGACAAGGGAAGAUGAGGCAGGAGAAGGUGGAAGCCCCGUUGCUGGCUGUGAAGGUGGACGAAGGGGGCCACGGGUCGAGGAAUGUGGGUGCCUCCAGAAGACGACCAGCCCUCCGCUGACGGCCAGCAAGGAAAUGGGAACUUCAGUCCUCCCCACGGCAGGAAACCGAAUUCUGCCAACAACCUCAGUGGGCAAGGCGAUGGAUUCUCCCUGGAGCCCCCGGAAGGCAUGCAGCUCUGCCCACACCUUGACUUUCGCCCAGCGAGACCCACGUCUGACUUAGGACCCACAAGUGUUAAGAUAAGAAAUUUCUGGGGAAUACCCUGAUUAGGGCUCUGCGCUUUUACUGCUGAGGGUGCGGAUUCAGUCCCUGGUCGGGGAACUAAGAUCCCACAAGGUGCUCAGCGCGGCCAAAAAAAAAAAAAAAAAAGAUAAUAAA